Molecule: long non-coding RNA, 303 nt
Organism: Limulus polyphemus (Atlantic horseshoe crab)
Lineage: Eukaryota; Metazoa; Arthropoda; Merostomata; Xiphosura; Limulidae
Exons: 3
Source: RefSeq, a predicted model, not a curated record
GCUUCAUUCAAGGCACAUUGAUGUUAGUUAUUUUGCAGCUGGAAUAGUUGCUCACUUAGCCAGCGACGGGCCUUCAGCAUGGACUGUUACAAGUGUUCCACGAGAAGUUAUGCUUAAAGAACUGGGAGACGUUGUAAGCCAUUGGCAACAGCCUGAAGGUGAAAUGGUUGCAUACAGGUCUUUCCAUCCGUUUUUUCCUUUGUUGACAUGUUUACAAAGCUUUGAGGUUCAGCUUUGGGCUGUUUGGGCAAUCCAUCAUGUCUGCUCAAAAAACCGUGAGUUCUUAUAAUAACUUGAUUAUAC